GUAAGGAAUAUUGGACAAUGCCCGCAAGGGUGAUCCAGCCAUGCCGCGUGCAGGAAGACGGACCUAUGGUUUGUAAACUGCUUUUGAACCAGAGAAAACCCCCUUACGUGUAAGGGGCUGAUAGUAUGGUUAGAAUAAGGAUCGGCUAACUUCGUGCCAGCAGCCGCGGUAAGACGAAGGAUCCAAGCGUUAUCCGGAUUCAUUGGGUUUAAAGGGUGCGUAGGCGGCCCGGUAAGUCAGUGGUGAAAGCCUGUUGCUCAACAACAGAACUGCCAUUGAUACUGCCAGGCUUGAGUACAGAUGCUGUGGGCGGAAUAUGACAUGUAGUGGUGAAAUACAUAGAGAUGUCAUAGAACACCGAUUGCGAAGGCAGCUCACAAAACUGUAACUGACGCUGAGGCACGAAAGUGCGGGGAUCAAACAGGAUUAGAAACCCCAGUAGUCC
Molecule: ribosomal RNA, 445 nt
Filed under: uncultured bacterium
Lineage: Bacteria
Description: bacterial SSU rRNA
Rfam family: Bacterial small subunit ribosomal RNA
Source: RNAcentral